GACGAACGCUGGCGGCGUGCUUAACACAUGCAAGUCGAACGAAGAGCGACGGAAGCUUGCUUCUAUCAAUCUUAGUGGCGAACGGGUGAGUAACGCGUAAUCAACCUGCCCUUCAGAGGGGGACAACAGUUGGAAACGACUGCUAAUACCGCAUACGAUCUAACCUCGGCAUCGAGGAUAGAUGAAAGGUGGCCUCUACAUGUAAGCUAUCACUGAAGGAGGGGAUUGCGUCUGAUUAGCUAGUUGGAGGGGUAACGGCCCACCAAGGCGAUGAUCAGUAGCCGGUCUGAGAGGAUGAACGGCCACAUGGGGACUGAGACACGGCCCAGACUCCUACGGGAGGCAGCAGUGGGGAAUCUUCCGCAAUGGACGAAAGUCUGACGGAGCAACGCCGCGUGAGUGAUGACGGCCUUCGGGUUGUAAAGCUCUGUUAAUCGGGACGAAAGGCCUUCUUGCGAAUAGUGAGAAGGAUUGACGGUACCGGAAUAGAAAGCCACGGCUAACUACGUG
RNAcentral lists this ribosomal RNA (510 nucleotides) under uncultured bacterium. Its description in RNAcentral is "partial 16S ribosomal RNA". It matches the Rfam family "Bacterial small subunit ribosomal RNA", at positions 28 to 507 of the family's 1533-position model. The record is from RNAcentral.